RNAcentral lists this small RNA (262 nucleotides) under Arabidopsis thaliana (thale cress). RNAcentral's name for it is "ATSL256240". Lineage: Eukaryota; Viridiplantae; Streptophyta; Magnoliopsida; Brassicales; Brassicaceae. The record is from RNAcentral.
AUGCACACAACAAAAUUUUCUGACACAUCUUAACAAGCUUCCAAAAAGAGAAAAAGGUGUUGGAGUUGGAGAUCCGGUUUAACUGGUUUGGUUUACAAACUUGGCUACAAAGUUGCGUGAAGAGGAAGUUGGCGUUAAAUCAGGAAUGUAUAUCAGAGUUACUCCAUAAAAUCUGUAUUGUUAAUAUUGUUUCUUCUCACCUCCACUGUCGGGUUCGGGUUCGGGUUCGCUGCCAUCGUCACUCUUCGUUUCAAAAGAAAAU